AGAGUUUGAUCAUGGCUCAGGAUGAACGCUGGCGGCGUGCCUAACACAUGCAAGUCGAGCGAAAAGGUUAAGAAGGAUCCUUCGGGUGACUAAUUAACUGGACAGCGGCGGACGGGUGAGUAACGCGUGGGUAACCUGCCCUAUGGAGGGGGAUAACGUUUUGAAAAGAACGCUAAUACCGCAUAAGCGCACAGAUACGCAUGUAUCAGUGUGAAAAACUCCGGUGCCAUAGGAUGGACCCGCGUAAGAUUAGCUAGUUGGUAAGGUAAUGGCUUACCAAGGCGACGAUCUUUAGCCGACCUGAGAGGGUGAUCGGCCACAUUGGGACUGAGACACGGCCCAAACUCCUACGGGAGGCAGCAGUGGGGGAUAUUGCACAAUGGGCGAAAGCCUGAUGCAGCAACGCCGCGUGAAGGAAGAAGGUCUUCGGAUCGUAAACUUCUAUCAGCAGGGAAGAAAA
This 460-nucleotide ribosomal RNA is filed under the name uncultured marine bacterium. Its description in RNAcentral is "bacterial SSU rRNA". It matches the Rfam family "Bacterial small subunit ribosomal RNA", at positions 8 to 451 of the family's 1533-position model. The record is from RNAcentral.